GGGGAAUCUUCCGCAAUGGGGGCAACCCUGACGGAGCAACGCCGCGUGAGGGAGGAAGGCCUGUGGGUUGUAACCUCUUUUCUCUGGGAAGAAGCUCUGACGGUACCAGAGGAAUCAGCAUCGGCUAACUCCGUGCCAGCAGCCGCGGUAAGACGGAGGAUGCAAGCGUUAUCCGGAAUUAUUGGGCGUAAAGCGUCCGUAGGCGGCUGUUCAAGUCUGCUGUUAAAGGCCAGGGCUCAACUCUGGAUAGGCAGUGGAAACUGAGCAGCUAGAGUUCGGUAGGGGUAGAGGGAAUUCCCAGUGUAGCGGUGAAAUGCGUAGAUAUUGGGAAGAACACCAGUGGCGAAGGCGCUCUACUGGGCCGAGACUGACGCUGAUGGACGAAAGCUAGGGGAGCGAAUGGGAUUAGAUACCCCAGUAGUCCUAGCUGUAAACGAUGGACACUAGGUGUUGGCCGUAUCGACCCGGUCAGUAUCGAAGCAAACGCGUUAAGUGUCCCGCCUGGGGAGUACGCACGCAAGUGUGAAACUCAAAGGAAUUGACGGGGGCCCGCACAAGCGGUGGAGUAUGUGGUUUAAUUCGAUGCAACGCGAAGAACCUUACCAGGGUUUGACAUCCUACGAACCUUUCUGAAAGGAGAGGGUGCCUUCGGGAGCGUAGAGACAGGUGGUGCAUGGCUGUCGUCAGCUCGUGUCGUGAGAUGUUGGGUUAAGUCCCGCAACGAGCGCAACCCACGUCCUUAGUUGCCAUCAUUAAGUUGGGCACUUUAGGGAGACUGCCGGUGACAAACCGGAGGAAGGUGUGGAUGACGUCAAGUCAUCAUGCCCCUUACAUCCUGGGCUACACACGUACUACAAUGCUACGGACAGAGGGCAGCGAGCCAGCGAUGGUAAGCAAAUCCCAUAAACCGUGGCACAGUUCAGAUUGCAGGCUGCAACUCGCCUGCAUGAAGGCGGAAUCGCUAGUAAUCGCAGGUCAGCAUACUGCGGUGAAUACGUUCCCGGGCCUUGUACACACCGCCCGUCACACCAUGGGAGUUGGCCACGCCCGAAGUCGUUACUCCAACCUUUCGGGGAGGAGGACGCCGAAGGCAGGGCUGAUGACUGGGGUGAAGUCGUAACAAGGUAACCGUA
Molecule: ribosomal RNA, 1133 nt
Filed under: Synechococcales cyanobacterium LEGE 10387
Lineage: Bacteria; Bacillati; Cyanobacteriota; Cyanophyceae; Synechococcales
Description: bacterial SSU rRNA
Rfam family: Bacterial small subunit ribosomal RNA
Source: RNAcentral